GGAGAGAUGGCCGAGCGGUCUAAGGCGGUGGUCUUGAAAACCGCUGAGGCGCAAGCCUCCGGGGGUUCGAAUCCCUCUCUCUCCGCCA
Molecule: transfer RNA, 88 nt
Filed under: Planctomycetota bacterium
Lineage: Bacteria; Pseudomonadati; Planctomycetota
Description: tRNA-Ser
Rfam family: tRNA
About the family: Transfer RNA (tRNA) molecules are approximately 80 nucleotides in length. Their secondary structure includes four short double-helical elements and three loops (D, anti-codon, and T loops). Further hydrogen bonds mediate the characteristic L-shaped molecular structure. tRNAs have two regions of fundamental functional importance: the anti-codon, which is responsible for specific mRNA codon recognition, and the 3' end, to which the tRNAs corresponding amino acid is attached (by aminoacyl-tRNA synthetases). tRNAs cope with the degeneracy of the genetic code in two manners: having more than one tRNA (with a specific anti-codon) for a particular amino acid; and 'wobble' base-pairing, i.e. permitting non-standard base-pairing at the 3rd anti-codon position.
Source: RNAcentral